GAGGAAAGGUGGUGCAAGCCACCGCUUUUCGACGAGCCUAUCUCCUAUCAGCUAGUUGGUGAGGUAAUGGCUCACCAAGGCUAUGACGGGUAGCUGGUCUGAGAGGAUGAUCAGCCACACUGGAACUGAGACACGGUCCAGACUCCUACGGGAGGCAGCAGUGGGGAAUUUUGGGCAAUGAGCGAAAGCUUGACCCAGCGACACUGCGUGGGCGAUGAAGAUCUUUGGAUUGUAAAGCCCUUUUAUGGAAGAGUAAGGAGAUGGUUAGGAAAUGAGCUGUCUCUUGCAAGUAUUUCAUGAAUAAGCCCCAGCCAACUACGUGCCAGCAGCUGCGGUAAUACGUAGGGGGCAAGCGUUGUCCGGAAUUACUGGGUGUAAAGGGUGUGCAGGCGUCCUUUUAAGUUGGUUGUGAAAACCCGGAGCUCAACUCCGGAACUGCAGCCAAUACUGAA
RNAcentral lists this ribosomal RNA (452 nucleotides) under uncultured bacterium. RNAcentral describes it as "bacterial SSU rRNA". It matches the Rfam family "Bacterial small subunit ribosomal RNA", at positions 199 to 637 of the family's 1533-position model. The record is from RNAcentral.